This 555-nucleotide ribosomal RNA is filed under the name uncultured bacterium. Its description in RNAcentral is "partial 16S ribosomal RNA". It matches the Rfam family "Bacterial small subunit ribosomal RNA", at positions 355 to 932 of the family's 1533-position model. The record is from RNAcentral.
UGGGGAAUAUUGGACAAUGGGCGCAAGCCUGAUCCAGCCAUGCCGCGUGAGUGAUGAAGGCCUUAGGGUUGUAAAGCUCUUUCGCCGGUGAAGAUAAUGACGGUAACCGGAGAAGAAGCCCCGGCUAACUUCGUGCCAGCAGCCGCGGUAAUACGAAGGGGGCUAGCGUUGCUCGGAAUCACUGGGCGUAAAGCGCACGUAGGCGGAUCGUUAAGUCAGGGGUGAAAUCCUGGAGCUCAACUCCAGAACUGCCCUUGAUACUGGCGAUCUCGAGUUCGAGAGAGGUUGGUGAAACUCCGAGUGUAGAGGUGAAAUUCGUAGAUAUUCGGAAGAACACCAGUGGCGAAGGCGGCCAACUGGCUCGAUACUGACGCUGAGGUGCGAAAGCGUGGGGAGCAAAACAGGAUUAGAUACCCUGGUAGUCCACGCCGUAAACGAUGGAUGCUAGCCGUUGGGGGGUUUACCUCUCAGUGGCGCAGCUAACGCCUUAAGCAUCCCGCCUGGGGAGUACGGUCGCAAGAUUAAAACUUAAAGGAAUUGACGGGGUCAUAGCUG